UUCAUGAGUCGUAGAUAUUUUCUUCUCUCUCUUCAUCUUUUUGUGUCUCUCUGGCCACAACAUUACACUUAAUUCACUUCUGCCUAAAGCCUUCUUCACCUCGACACUUCUCCUUUAUCGGGAAACUGCGAUUACGCAUCGAGAUCUUCAUAUCUCAUCGCUCUUCCUCUAAAUUCACAUGUAAAACAUUGUUGCCUUUGUUCAUUAGGUGCUGAAAGAAUCUCCAAGACGCAGGUGAUUCUCGUCUGCUUUCUCUACUUUGGCUUUUGUGAUUUUCGAAUUGUUCAUAUGAUUUUGUGGUUUGAUUGGAUUAUUUCAUUGAUCUGUUGGAGGAGAGUUUGACUUGGCUUAUGUUGGACGUACAUGCAUUACAUUCUGUUGUUUUCAGCUAGUUUUUGUUGUGAGAAGUUAUUCACACGUUUUCGUGUAUUUUCGUAUACAAUCUCUCAUCUCUGUGAUGUUUUUGUCAUAAGCGAAUGAUCCUUUGUUUCGUUUUGGUUUCUAUUUGAUUAGCUGCUUUUGAUUUCUUGGGUAUAGUUUCUGGUAUUAAUUUAAUCUGCUUUCUAUUUGAUAUCCAGCCAAUCGAAAUUGUGAAAGGGUUUAAGGUUCUUGAAGCCAAAAUCUACUGCUCCACAAUCUAUAAGGUGAAAUAAAGUAGAAAUAUGAUUCUGUUGAACUCAUAGUGCUAAUUGAUGGUGUUUGAUUUUAUGGUUUUAGUUCUUCGUGCGAUUCCUUGCUUGAUACCAAUCCUGUCAUAUUACCAAGGGAUAUAUAAUUAUUGAAGCUAUGGCGACUGUCUCCACUAUACAUAAGGUACAAUUUAUAAAUUCACCACAUUCAUAGUUUUGAUCAUCAAAUUCAUCAGAAACGUUUGUUUUCAAUUCGUUUUCAGCUUCUCAUGGUUAUGCAAAUUACUGUGAAUUUAUAAUUUGUGAUUCUGCAUCUCUUUGUCUGAUUGAACUUUGCUUGUUUUCACCUAGUAUUAUGAUGAAUAAUAAAUUAUUUCUAGACAUAUGGUUUGACGGACAUGUCUUCACUUUUACUAUGAAUUAUCUUCCCCACCCCCAAUAAAUGGCGAUUUUAAUAUUCAAUUUUACUGAAGCAUCAAUUUGGACAUGUCUCAUGUGUAUCAGUUUUAUCUUUAUCUAACAAGCAUUAGUAGGGAGUCUAGGGACUACAGCUGCGACAUCAAUUACCACAAUAUUAGCUCGAGCUAACCUUAACAUUUAUUGCUUCUGCCUUCAGCCAUUAUUACAAUGAUCAUGAGACUAUGUACAUAAAAAUCUCUAGUCUUUCCGUAUGAUCUUAAUGAUCAGGAUGGCCAUAUUGUGAACCACAGCAUUUCUAGUUCAUUUGAGCCAUUCUCUCUUUGGAUUGUAUGACAACAUUGGCAUAAAACUGGUAAACAACUUCUGUGUGCAACGUGUCAUUGCUGCAGUUGAAGCCUGUUUCAAGUGUCAAUUUUAUGGUCAUUUGAUAAGACAAACAAUGGCUGAAACCAUUUUUAGGGUGUGUGUGUGUGUGUGUGUGUUAAUUAGGGAUGCAUAGAGCUAACCCGAAAUUCAUCACAUCUUUUGGUGCACCAUUUGUUUGCUUUUGUGGCUGGCUUAGCUCAAGAUUAAUAGGUAUAAAAGGAUAUCCAUCGUUGAUGCUGUGCAUAUUCUGGGGAACCCUGUUUUCUUCGCUUGUGCUUCCCGGGCCAUAAACCUAAAUCAGAACUUGCUUUAAUUUAGACCGAAAUUUACUUUGACAGUUGACUUCUGGCCUACAUUUUAUUCAUCAUACAAGUUUGAUACUUAGUCGUAGUCUGUCAAUACCUUUUUCUUCAAAUCCUCAUUUUCCUUGGCAACAAGAUUCAUCUUCUUGUGAAGUUCCAUAUUCUCUUGAUGGAUGACGUUUCCCUGUAACAAGAUCAAUGAUGCUAUCCCCAAUUCUAAACAUGAAUAUAAAAUAGAAACUCUAGCUUGUUAAUUGUCUCAAAAGUGGACCUUCUGAUUUAAGUCGUUGAUUUGAGUAGUCAGAGUUUGUUCCUGCGAGAGAUAAAUAAAUUAAAUUAAAACUUAUAUGAGAACCUGUCCAUAUAGUUAUGCUAGACAUGAUUGUUACUUGCCUUUUUCACACGAACGCCUUUCAAGCUCAUCUCUAGUUGAUUUUCCAGAUUUUGGAGGUCUCUGAUGUUCAAUCCAGCAAGUUCUUCUCCCAAAAGCUUCCUGCAACCGCAACAGAAGAGGCAAGUCAUUUCAGAUAAAAGAUGAGAGGUAUCAGCAUUUUUUAGGAGGCCCUGUGCCUAUUGUAGUCCUACUAACUGAAUUUCAUUAUACACAUGCCUCUUCUACAUUUCUUUUAAAUCAAGAUGCUUUUGAUGUAUGCACAUUUUUAACGCAUGUUCUGUGUCUCAAGUUCGUAUGACAAUAUAUGCAUAUGCAUCCUCCAUAUGUUAACUGUUUCGUGUUUCUAUAACAAGACGCACAUUGCAGAAUUAUUUAGAGUGGGAUUGAGAUGAUAUAUGCCGUCUACAUGACAAUCGCAAAGAACAAACUGUAGAUACUGUAAUCCCCAAUGUGUGGGGCAGUAUAUAUGUUCUACAAUAUCAUCUGCCUUUUAGUUGCCUACAAUUACUUUGCUGCUCAUAUCUCUUUUCUAGCUCUCUAUCAAUAAUAACGCAGUUUCAACUGUAAAAAGUGUCUGCAUUGGAAUUUCAAUCAAAUACUACGUGUAACACAUCUAGUGGGAUUACCUAUGGCUUUCUUGCAAAUACUGUAGUUGUUGCCUCAAGUUUUCCGCUUCCCUUUGCCACACCUAGCCAAAAUUGACAAAGCAGGAUUAGUUCACACUUACUAUAAUCAAAUUGCCAGAGAAUUUCAACCAGGCUAUCGUAAUCACAUUAGUCGGAGAUAUCUUGAACUCAGAUGCAUGCAAAUCUUCUCUGGUUCAAAAAAUUGUUCUGUCAUCAUUGCUGGAGGAAUAGUAUAUCUUUUGGUUGUUAAUGUAAUGGAUGGGUAUCGUUGUUUACUGUAUAGCUGUAUCUUGCGUUUCCUGUUGAAUAUAAUCUUUACCUUGUCACCCCACCAAGAAAGAGGACUGCAACCUAGCUGGUUUUGGAACGUGGAACAUUGGGAAUACUUUCUCAUCCUCGUACAUUUUUUAAUCUCAAAUCUUAACACCACAGGGUGGAUUUUAGGAAACCUGUGUUUCAUAUGUGGAUUCGUACACCUAGGAACGGUCUUUUCAAUUGUGUAGAAGGAAGAAAAUAGGAGCCCAGACACACCCAAAAUGGUAGUAACAUCUGAAGAGAGCCAUCUACAUAUUCAUUAAUCAUCAUAAACCUGUGUAACUAUGUUAGAACAGUGUACAGAGCUUAAAGUAUUUAUUAUUCUAAUACUCGGAUAAGGAAAGCAACUGCAGCUAAAUCGUCUUAACUAGGAUGUGAAUACGACUUGACUUAGUAGUACAGGUGUUAUAAUUACUUGUUGACUAUGUCUGUUUUGAGGCAUAGUGAAUUCAGAUAUGCCAAAUGUGAUGAAUGCAAGUUUGUCGAAAGGUGAAACUGAUGAGUGAUGAUUAGCUUCAUUGAUGCAGUCUGUGAAGUGACCUAGUUCUCGUGGAGUUUCAGUGGACCUAAUCUUUGCCCAGGUUUCAUAUUCAUAGUAUGUGGUCCUUCCUUGGGGCUUUCUUUGCUUACUGAAAAAUUCUGUACUACAACUUCAACCUAGUUACUUAGCUAUUUCAGGAGCAACCACAGUCCACUAAUAGCUCUUCUGUUUAAAAGUUUAUAAGCUCCUUCAAAGUUUUCGGCAAAAUAAGCUUUCCAAAAAUUAUGUUUCUCUACCACAGUUUAUUUUCUCUCAUUAUCUUAUAAGCAAUAAUCAUUUUACAAAAAUAACUCAAUUAUGAUUUGUUAUUUUUAUAAUAUAUCAUUCCAAUGUUAUCCAUCUACACUUUUCUCUCUCUCAUAUAUAAGCUCAAUUAUAUAAAUACUUUGACAAUGUAUAAGCUCUUGGAGCUUAUAAGCUUAGCCAAACUCCCUCUUAAUUUCCACUCUUCUAAAAGUGAUAAGAGGUAAAUCUUGACGACUUUUUGGAUCAGCCAUGGUUCAGUUAACAAGGGUCAACGAGUUCCUUCACUCAAGGCAACCUAAGUGUGAGAGAGCUUAUUUGAAAGUGGACUACCCUAAGGAGUAGCUACCCAUGAGAGUGCUGAAAAUAUGUUAGAAAUUUACAUUGAAAUAUAUAAGAUACAAAAAAAUGUGAAAUGCAUUUUUGCUAUAUUACUAAGAGGGUGUUUGGCUGAGUUUAUAAGCUCCUCAAAAAAGCUUAUAAGCUGUUUAGGAGCUUAUAAGCUCUUUCAAAGUGUAUGGCAAAAUAAGCUCCUAAACAGAUUAUAAGUUCUAAAAAUAAGCUCCAAGAGCUUAUAAGUUCCCAAAAAAAUAAGUUUCUCUAUCCUAACUUAUUCUUUUAUAAUCUCAUAUGCAACAAUCAUUUUACAAUUAUUUUUCAACUAUAAUUUAUUAUUUUCAUCAUAUAUCAUUCAAGUUCAUUUUUCUUCGAUUUUCUCUCUUUAAAAAAAUAUUCUCUCUCUCAAGCAAAAAAUUCUCUCUCAAGCAAAUAAUUCUAUCUCUAGCUUAUAAUCUCAAUUAUCCAAACACUUUGACAACUUAUAAGAUCUUAAAAAUUAUAUCUUAUAAGCUCUUGAAACAUCUUAUAAUCUCCAAGAGCUUAUAAGCUCUUUAAAAUAAAUAGCAUUUCAAGUGACUUUUUUUUCAGACAAGAGCUGCGAAUGUUCAUUAAGGCCUUUCAACAGGUUCUUAACCUACACAAAGCUUUCAUGAAGAAUGAAUGGCAAGUAAAGUGUUGGAGAUUCCCAAGACUUGUUUAAAGGGAAUCAGAUGCCUAAGGGGGUGUUUCUUUUGAGGAUUAACUUAGAUAAUAAAAAGUAUAGGCUAAUCCAUUUUAUCCUAAGAGAAUCCACAUCGGGUUGGCCCAUUCGCCAGCUCGAGUUAGCCUUGGGGGUGAGUUAGCCGAUGUAGGUGGGGGUGUCUCGAGCUGGGGUGCGAUCAUGAGUCAGGUGCGAUGGGGUGAAAAUUCGGGCUUAUGUUUCACACUCGCCCAUUUAAAAAAAUAAAAAAUUUAAAUUUAAAUGCAGAAACAGUAACCUGCGUCCCAAACAGUAAAAAUUCUUUCCCCCCCCCUCCCACCCUUCUUAUUUAAUCUAUAAAUCCUCCUACUCCAAUUCUAUUCAACACAAUUGUACUGACUUUCUUUCUCUCAAAUCUUCCUUAAUUUUUAUCUUCAUUUCAUAAUUGUUCUUUCUCUUAAACGAAUUCCAACAAUUCCUAUUUAUUUUCUACAAAAUUUUGUUCAUGAAUUCGUUGAGAAUGGCAUCAGAACAACAAGAAAUACAUAUGGAUACGAUGAGAAUGACAUCAGAGUAGCAAGAAAUACAUGCGCGAAGGGUGGUUGAAAUUUUCGCACGAAAGGGAGCCAGAGAUGCCUGAUUUUCAUGUUUUAAAUUUAUGUAAUUUUAAAUUUAUGUCAUUUAAAUUUAUGUAAUUUAAUUUAAAUUUAAGUAAUUGACUUAUUUAAAUUUGUGUAUUUAAAUUAAAUCAAUAAUCAAUAUUCAAAACUCAAAACUAAUUCAUAUGAGUCAACAUGAUAAGCUAACCCAAUACAGCGUAUGGUUCAUAAGUGGUUCUGGAAUAUGGAUUUGACUCAAUCAAUAUGGAUGCUCUAAGAUGUAUUCAAAUAUUGGGAUAUUUCAAGGCUUUUGAUAUUCUUUGUUAUUUGAAUUAAUUUUGUUUAAUUCAUAUCUCAUUGAAAUACUGAUUGAAGAUAUCUUAAUAAUAAAGAUAAAAAUAUUCAAUUACGUAAUUUAUCAAUUAUGAAAAAAUAAAUAGUGUG
Molecule: long non-coding RNA, 5897 nt
Filed under: Salvia miltiorrhiza (redroot sage)
Lineage: Eukaryota; Viridiplantae; Streptophyta; Magnoliopsida; Lamiales; Lamiaceae
Description: long non-coding RNA (SMIL_LNC002897)
Source: RNAcentral